RNAcentral lists this ribosomal RNA (1380 nucleotides) under Vibrio parahaemolyticus. RNAcentral's name for it is "bacterial SSU rRNA". It matches the Rfam family "Bacterial small subunit ribosomal RNA", at positions 61 to 1425 of the family's 1533-position model. Lineage: Bacteria; Pseudomonadati; Pseudomonadota; Gammaproteobacteria; Vibrionales; Vibrionaceae. The record is from RNAcentral.
GCGGAAACGAGUUAUCUGAACCUUCGGGGAACGAUAACGGCGUCGAGCGGCGGACGGGUGAGUAAUGCCUAGGAAAUUGCCCUGAUGUGGGGGAUAACCAUUGGAAACGAUGGCUAAUACCGCAUGAUGCCUACGGGCCAAAGAGGGGGACCUUCGGGCCUCUCGCGUCAGGAUAUGCCUAGGUGGGAUUAGCUAGUUGGUGAGGUAAGGGCUCACCAAGGCGACGAUCCCUAGCUGGUCUGAGAGGAUGAUCAGCCACACUGGAACUGAGACACGGUCCAGACUCCUACGGGAGGCAGCAGUGGGGAAUAUUGCACAAUGGGCGCAAGCCUGAUGCAGCCAUGCCGCGUGUGUGAAGAAGGCCUUCGGGUUGUAAAGCACUUUCAGUCGUGAGGAAGGUAGUGUAGUUAAUAGCUGCAUUAUUUGACGUUAGCGACAGAAGAAGCACCGGCUAACUCCGUGCCAGCAGCCGCGGUAAUACGGAGGGUGCGAGCGUUAAUCGGAAUUACUGGGCGUAAAGCGCAUGCAGGUGGUUUGUUAAGUCAGAUGUGAAAGCCCGGGGCUCAACCUCGGAAUUGCAUUUGAAACUGGCAGACUAGAGUACUGUAGAGGGGGGUAGAAUUUCAGGUGUAGCGGUGAAAUGCGUAGAGAUCUGAAGGAAUACCGGUGGCGAAGGCGGCCCCCUGGACAGAUACUGACACUCAGAUGCGAAAGCGUGGGGAGCAAACAGGAUUAGAUACCCUGGUAGUCCACGCCGUAAACGAUGUCUACUUGGAGGUUGUGGCCUUGAGCCGUGGCUUUCGGAGCUAACGCGUUAAGUAGACCGCCUGGGGAGUACGGUCGCAAGAUUAAAACUCAAAUGAAUUGACGGGGGCCCGCACAAGCGGUGGAGCAUGUGGUUUAAUUCGAUGCAACGCGAAGAACCUUACCUACUCUUGACAUCCAGAGAACUUUCCAGAGAUGGAUUGGUGCCUUCGGGAACUCUGAGACAGGUGCUGCAUGGCUGUCGUCAGCUCGUGUUGUGAAAUGUUGGGUUAAGUCCCGCAACGAGCGCAACCCUUAUCCUUGUUUGCCAGCGAGUAAUGUCGGGAACUCCAGGGAGACUGCCGGUGAUAAACCGGAGGAAGGUGGGGACGACGUCAAGUCAUCAUGGCCCUUACGAGUAGGGCUACACACGUGCUACAAUGGCGCAUACAGAGGGCGGCCAACUUGCGAAAGUGAGCGAAUCCCAAAAAGUGCGUCGUAGUCCGGAUUGGAGUCUGCAACUCGACUCCAUGAAGUCGGAAUCGCUAGUAAUCGUGGAUCAGAAUGCCACGGUGAAUACGUUCCCGGGCCUUGUACACACCGCCCGUCACACCAUGGGAGUGGGCUGCAAAAGAA